UAACCUAACUAUUAAUUUUCGUACAAGAUUUUCUAUAUUUACUUUUUUAAACUACAUUAAUUUAAGCAAUUUUCAAUAAAAUUUGCUCAUUAAAAAAAAAUUUUGCUAACUUGAAUAUAAGAGACAUUUUGAAGCAAAAUAUUUCUUAACAUAAUAGUCUGACCCCUGCUCCAUACGCCAGAGAUAGAGAAGAGAGAAAGGUUUUUUUUUUGAUAAGCGAGAAGAGAGAAAAGUGAAUAAAGUAGCGGUAGAGAUAGAGAAGAGAGAAAUGAGGUUUAUGAACCGAAGGCGGGUUUACCCAGUAAAGAAGAGCGGUGUAGAGAAAUGUCGGGUUUAUUAGGUUUAGAGUGGGAAUCCUAAGAGCAACUUUAACGCAGGUUGCUU
RNAcentral lists this long non-coding RNA (384 nucleotides) under Trifolium pratense (red clover). Its description in RNAcentral is "long non-coding RNA (TPRA_LNC006221)". Lineage: Eukaryota; Viridiplantae; Streptophyta; Magnoliopsida; Fabales; Fabaceae. The record is from RNAcentral.